This 465-nucleotide ribosomal RNA is filed under the name Vreelandella stevensii. RNAcentral's name for it is "partial 16S ribosomal RNA". It matches the Rfam family "Bacterial small subunit ribosomal RNA", at positions 338 to 795 of the family's 1533-position model. The record is from RNAcentral. Lineage: Bacteria; Pseudomonadati; Pseudomonadota; Gammaproteobacteria; Oceanospirillales; Halomonadaceae.
CCUACGGGUGGCAGCAGUGGGGAAUAUUGGACAAUGGGCGAAAGCCUGAUCCAGCCAUGCCGCGUGUGUGAAGAAGGCCUUCGGGUUGUAAAGCACUUUCAGUGGGGAAGAAAGCCUUGGGGCUAAUACCCUCGAGGAAGGACAUCACCCACAGAAGAAGCACCGGCUAACUCCGUGCCAGCAGCCGCGGUAAUACGGAGGGUGCUAGCGUUAAUCGGAAUUACUGGGCGUAAAGCGCGCGUAGGCGGUCUGAUAAGCCGGUUGUGAAAGCCCCGGGCUCAACCUGGGAACGGCAUCCGGAACUGUCAGGCUAGAGUGCAGGAGAGGAAGGUAGAAUUCCCGGUGUAGCGGUGAAAUGCGUAGAGAUCGGGAGGAAUACCAGUGGCGAAGGCGGCCUUCUGGACUGACACUGACGCUGAGGUGCGAAAGCGUGGGUAGCAAACAGGAUUAGAUACCCUGGUAGUC